Long non-coding RNA from Photinus pyralis (common eastern firefly), 2089 nucleotides. RefSeq lists it as uncharacterized. The transcript is spliced from 2 exons. NCBI's taxonomy places the organism in Eukaryota, Metazoa, Arthropoda, Insecta, Coleoptera, Lampyridae. The record is from RefSeq and is a predicted model, not a curated record.
GAUCAUUUUUUCAUUUCACAUUUGGUAACCAGAUUAUAGCAAAUAGUAAUUUAUGGUAAUGAACAUUAAAUAUUAAUGCUUGAUUAUCUCUCUUACGAAGUUAAAAGGUCACAGUCAUUAGGUUUUUGAUGUCUGCGUUCAGGUAGCAUAAUUCCUCUGCAGUUUGGUAACUAAUUAGGAAAAUCGCCGACGUUUAUCUUUAUUUUGUUAAAAAUACCCCAUUAUCUAUAUGAAGUUAUCAUUUUUGUUAAAUAUUAAGAUAAGUUUCGGGGAUUUGUUGACUUGUGUUUCAUAUUGUUUUUUUUUCAUUAUUUUAUCAGUGCACAUUGGUACCUCUAUCUCAUCAAGCUAAAUUUAAUCUGUAGAGGAAUUUAUUUAUUCUCGCCUACUCACUUUUUUGCACAGUAAAAAAGAGGCCGUUGAUGUAUAGGAAUCUUAAAAGUAAUUGCUUAAUCUUAAGAAUGUAAGCCUUCUUUGAUUAUUAGUGUUUACUAUUCCAAUAUUUUAAAUUGAUGCUUAAUCAUCGUUUGUAAAACCUGGAAUUAAUCAGUUCUAUCCGAGGUUCUAUCAAAGCUUACUGUAAACAUUACAUUUUCUAACCAUCUUGCAGCAAUGAAUAAAAAGUAAAGAAUUUGAAUAAAAAAUUAAUUAAAAGGAUCUACAACCCUUGACUGCACCUUUUCUUCCAGUUCGUUAACCGCAUAAGUAGAGUUGCAAGUGUAAUAAUUCAUAAUUCAUAAAAACUUUUGGGGUGCUGAAAAGAGACAAGCAUAGUUGCAUAGUUGACUUUUAUUGGUCUUAAAUCUAACAUUGCACUUUAAAAUCCAAACCUCCAACACUGAAACAAGUUGUAGCUUUAAAAUAAAACAGUAGGUAUGUUUUAUAAUAACAAAGUACAAAGUUCUAUUUUAUAUUGUAGGUAUAUACCUAGUGAUCCGCACCUUUUUUGUUGUAAAAUAUGUUUCCUGAUGAAUAAAUGAUUUUGAUUUGAACCUAUAUUUUUUGCAUUAACAUAUAAACAUGUUUUCAACAAUUUUCCCUUGAUAUUUCUGUUGAAAAUAUAAUACAACAUAAUAGCAACGUUGAAAAACAGUAGUGUAGCGUAGUUAUGGUGAAUGUUGUAGUUACUCUAAUAAUUUAGAAUUUUCCUGUAAGAAACUUCACUGUCGUCACAUAUUACUAUUUUUAGUAUAUCUUUGAUAAUUUGCUUUCCUUGUGGGUGUUUCACCGUAACUCUGCAUGAUUAUUACAACAAUUUCCAAUGUAAAGCUUUUUUAUUUUAAUGAUUUAAUAGUUUUUAUAAUAUUGAAUUGUGAGGUGUGAAUUACACUUACACUCAUCAAAAUAAGUGGCAAAUUACAUUAACAUUAAUAAUGAUACUAUAUAACAGACAGGUAAAAACAGUAAAAACGCCAACUAUUAUACUUGCAUAAUCUACUACCAGUCACAAACUCUUUAAAAGAAUAAAAUGCGCUACAUAGAAGACAAUUUUUAUGUGUCUAAAAUAUGGGGUAGUCUAAAACCCUUAUAUCGAAGGAAAUGCAGUUGUAUAAAUAUUUGGAUUGGUACUGUACUCCUUGUGAUUUGGACAAUCUGCAUAGAUCAGUACGAAUAUGGAUUUUCUUUCUUGUGUGACGAUUAUGUAUGUCAAGUUGUACUAUGUAAACACACACAUUUCGUUUGGAAUAGCUUAGAGCUUCAAAAAUAUAGAUGCAAGGAAAUGUUACGAUUCUGAGAUCGAUAAAUGCUUGACGACAAUUGUCUCUAUAACAUAAAGAACCCGAACCGCUCUACGUUGUAGUUUGAACACGUAUUGUCAAUGAGAACCAUGUCCCCAAGGGAGGAUGGCAUAUGAGAGAGAUUUAUGCAUAAAUAGUAGAGUUCCUGCGCGCGCAAAAGAACACACAACACUCCUUCAAGAUAACAAAGAUAGAUAUUUAAAAAAAAGUUAAUGCUUGUAAUGAAGGACAACGUACUACAUGUCCAAAAUUAAGUGCACACAUGCGUAGGUUUAUCAGUAAGAAGCAAUCUGCGAUGAAAAUACUCACAUAGUUCAUUUCCGCCGCGCUCAAGAAUACGCAAAAAAAUU